GAUGAACGCUAGCUACAGGCUUAACACAUGCAAGUCGAGGGGUAACGAGAGGAAAGCUUGCCUUCCUUGUCGACGACCGGCGCACGGGUGAGUAACGCGUAUCCAACCUGCCCCCAACUAGGGAAUAACCUUGCGAAAGUAAGACUAAUUCCCUAUAAUUUCCUCAUAUGUCAUCUGACGAGGAAUAAAGAUUUAUCGGUUGUGGAUGGUGAUGCGUCUGAUUAGCUUGUUGGCGGGGUAACGUCCCACCAAGGCAACGAUCAGUAGGGGUUGUGAGAGGAAGGUCCCCCACAUUGUAACUGAGACACGGUCCAAACUCCUACGGGAGGCAGCAGUGAGGAAUAUUGGUCAAUGGGCGGAAUCCUGAACCAGCCAAGUAGCGUGUAGGAUGACGGCCCUAUGGGUUGUAAACUGCUUUUAUACAGGAAUAAAGUUAGCCACGUGUGGUUAUUUGUAGGUACUGUAUGAAUAAGGACCGGCUAAUUCCGUGCCAGCCGCCGCGGUAA
Molecule: ribosomal RNA, 506 nt
Filed under: uncultured bacterium
Lineage: Bacteria
Description: partial 16S ribosomal RNA
Rfam family: Bacterial small subunit ribosomal RNA
Source: RNAcentral